GAUCGGUCAUCGAUGGGUCAAGAUCGGUCAUCGUUGACCCAAGACUGGACAUUAACCCAAGAUCGGUCAUCGAUGGGUCAAGACCAGACAUUGACCCAAGAUCAGUCAUCGUUGGGUCAAGAUCGGUCAUCGAUGGGUCAAGAUCGGUCAUCGAUGGGUCAAGAUCGGUCAUCGUUGGGUCAAGACCGGACAUUGAUGUGUCAAGAUCAGCCAUCGUUGACCCAGGACCAGACAUUGACCCAAAACCAGUUAUUAUUGACCCAAGAACGGACAUUGGCCCAGAAUCGGUCAUCGUCGACCCAAAACCGGUCAUCGUUGACCCAAACAAGUUCGACGGCCCAAGCGACGUCGCCGUUGUCCUUCGAGAUGACCCUGUGGGGACAAGGCCGGACAUUGACCCAGGAGGGGUCACCGUUGGGUCAAGACCGGUCAUUGUCACCGUUGUCACCAGAGGUGGCACCUUGGGGACAAAACCGGCCAUUGUUGGCCCAAGAGCGGUCAUUGACCCAAGAUCGGUCAUUGUUGGGUCAAGAGCGGUCAUUGGCCCAGGAUCGGUCAUCAUUGACCCAAGAUCGGUCAUUGUUGGGUCAAGAGCGGUCAUUGGCCCAGGACCGGUCAUCGUUGGGUCAAGAGCGGUCAUUGGCCCAGGACCGGUCAUCGUUGGGUCAAGAAGGGUCAACGGCCCAAGGGACGUCGCCGUUGUCCCUUGAGAUGACCCCAAGGGGUCAAGACCGGACAUUGACCCAAGACCGGACAUUGGCCCAAGACAGGACAUUGACCCAAGACCGAACAUUGGCCCAAGACAGGACAUUGACCCAAGACCGGUCACCGUUGGGUCAAGACCGGACAUCGUUGGGUCAAGAGUGGUCAUUGACCCAAGACCGGCCAUUGUUGGGUCAAGAAAGGUCAACGGCCCAAGGGACGUCGCCGUUGUCCCUUGAGAUGACCACAAGGGGUCAAGACCAGACAUUGACCCAAGACCGGCCAUUGUUGGGUCAAGACCGGCCAUUGUUGGAUCAAGACCGGACAUCGUUGGGUCAAGACCGGACAUUGGCCCAGGACCAGUCACCGUUGGCCCAAGACCGGACAUUGACCCAGGACCAGUCACCGUUGGGUCAAGACCGGACAUCGUUGGGUCAAGAGUGGUCAACGGCCCAAGGGACGUCGCCGUUGUCCCUCGAGAUGACCCCAAGGGGUCAAGACCGGACAUUGGCCCAGGAGGGGUCAUCAUUGGGUCAAGACCGGACAUUGGCCCAGGACCGGUCACCGUUGGCCCAAGACCGGACAUUGACCCAGGACCGGUCACCGUUGGGUCAAGACCAGUCAUCGUUGGGUCAAGAGUGGUCAACGGCCCAAGGGACGUCGCCG
This 1368-nucleotide long non-coding RNA is filed under the name Chloebia gouldiae (Gouldian finch). Its description in RNAcentral is "Erythrura gouldiae (Gouldian finch) lncRNA (ENSEGOG00005018472.1)". The record is from RNAcentral. Lineage: Eukaryota; Metazoa; Chordata; Aves; Passeriformes; Passeridae.